This 74-nucleotide transfer RNA is filed under the name Candidatus Woesebacteria bacterium GWB1_43_5. Its description in RNAcentral is "tRNA-Asp". It matches the Rfam family "tRNA". From Rfam's summary of the family: Transfer RNA (tRNA) molecules are approximately 80 nucleotides in length. Their secondary structure includes four short double-helical elements and three loops (D, anti-codon, and T loops). Lineage: Bacteria; Candidatus Woeseibacteriota. The record is from RNAcentral.
GGGGCCGUAGCUCAACCGGUUAGAGUGCUUCCCUGUCACGGAAGAGGUUGCGGGUUCGAGUCCCGUCGGCCCCG